AAAGAAGGGACCGCCGACCGCCGGAUACCUGACGCUGGCGGGCGGCGGCGGCGGCGGCGGCGAAGACGUCCGUUGCGGCUGCGACGAAUCCAAGUAACCGGGGCCCUUGCCGAACUGGCAGGCGAGAUAGGUCCCCCGAUUCAAGCGGAGAUGGUUCACUGAUUUCCCUUCCCCGCCGCCAAUUCGAUCGGGCUCGCGGCUCGCCGUCUCUGCUCUCCCCAACCGGCACCAAGCCAGCCAAUGGCGCUCGAGGAGGCACAGCGGCCACUGUCCGCCGGCGUGGCCUGGCGCCUAACCGGAAGCUGGCUAGGCUCCGAACUGGUUCGAGGCUUCAAGCCGAUCCGCAUCUAUCCAGGUACGCACGGACGCCCCGACGAUGGGUUCGUUGCAAAAUUUCUCCGGGAACCAGUCAAAAUCAAAUGAUUUCCUACAAACAUUCGCCAUGCUCGCUGCUCGCCAUUGUUAUUUUACAGUGUCCUUCUAGAAAUACAUCACAACAACAUACGCCACUCGAGGCUAAACACACCAUUAUUUGCUAAUGGCUCUCGGGGUGGUUGGGCCGGCUGACACGCUCUGGAGGUAACGUUCGACGACGUCGAGUCCGCAGAGCUCCUUGACGACGGGCAUCGUCGCCGGCACGUCCAUCUGGAACGUGACGGCGGAGUUCGCGGGCCCGGUGCAGAUAGAGAACUCCUUCCUGGCGGCCCUGAUGGCCUCCCUCAUCGCACAGUGCACCGACGACGCGAGAAGAAGCGGUGGCUCGCCCGACGCUGCAAAGAUCCAAGCCGGAGUGUCAGGGUCGCAAGCAGCCACUGUUGCCAUGUUAUGCUGGUAUGGUGAUCUCAAGUUGCAGUAUUUUUUGUACGUAAGUUCUCAGGAGGUUCAGGAAAGUCUGCAAGAACCAAGGAUGCCCGAGGAGAUGAGACAUUCCAAGAGUAGCAGAGGCGGACGCAGUACACAGGCACCACAGGCCACGGCCUGGGCUGCCUCGCGCGUCUGUAUGGAGCAUGUAUUUGACCCUAGUUCAAAAAAGGAUGCAAAGCCCAGGCUACCGCAGGCCUGCACCGCAGUACUGGCUCACAGCCUAGGCUGCCAUAAAAUCCUGGGUCCGCCACUGAAGAGUAGGUUUACCUUUGGAUGAAAGGACACGCUUCCUAUCGCCAGCGCUGUUGAUUAACUCGACGUUGAACUGCUUCGGGAUGGUGUCGACCGUUGGAAUCUUGUACGUCCAUGUGCCGUCAUGGAUGACCAUGCCGUCGGUGUUCGUUUUGUACUCCUCGUUCGUGAAGAAGCCCACUCCUUGGAUGAAUGCGCCUUCCACCUGAGUGAAUCAAUAGCAGUGUUCAGAGCAGCAUAUUUCUGUUGGCAAACGGUCUAACAGCAUCAAGUUUUGUUUGAGGCUAACCUGGCCAAGGUCUACUGCAGGGUUCAGGCUCUGCCCGCAGUCAUGAAUGAGGUCGCUCCGUAGGAUCGUGGUUGCUCCUGUCAGUACAUCAACUUCCACCUGUGAUGACAUUUCCAAUCAUGUCUCAGCUUCGUGAAGAACUGAAACUGCAGCCUCCAACAAUUUGGCUUGUUAAUUGCAUUUACAGUGUUACUAUAGCAAUUUGGAUCAGGGCUACCUCACUAAUGCCAGCUCCAUAGUUUAAGUAACUCCUGGAAGUUGGGUUCCAGUAUGCAUGCGCUGAUAAGUUCACACUCGCCAUACUUGCCUGCAAAUGACGAACAAAUGGCACGGACAAUUGGAAUAGUAAAAUGAUGGGUAUCUCACACUUAUUUGCUACCCAUACUGAUCGCAGUACAUUGAUGAUGGAAAUGAGGGAGGCAAAAGAUUUGCAUGUGAUUCUUGGUAUCUGUUUCAAUCAGGUUAACUGGUAUAUGUGACAACAGAUAAAGUCAUAACAUAAGGGUAUUUUCACCUGAGCAAUCAAGGCACCCCAUUCCAUUGUGGCACCCUUAGCCUCCAAACUCUCCUUUACAGGCUUGAGCCUUUCAACAAGUCGAAGGCACGAAUGCCGAACCGCUUCGCAACUAUUUUCAGAAGUGGUGCUCCCACCGGUGAACCCUCCCUGGAUCAUGCUCAACGAGUCGACCUGGAUAAUCCGCACCUUGUCAAGGAGGCAUUCCCCGCCAUCAGCACACAGUUGUCCCAGCCCAAAUGCUGUCAUCUGCUUCACUUUCGUCCACAAGCCCUGGCCUAUCUCAACCCCUCCAAUCUCAACAGCAAUUGAACCGUCAUUCAUGAUAGACACCUUGCCUGGAGCAGCCCGAAGACUCACCUCAUAUGUGAUGGGUACACAAGAAAUGCCACGUUUCUUCCACUUGUUGCUGCUAUUGAAGUGCUCAACCAUUGUAGCUCUGUGCUGGUAGUCUGGAGACAAGGCCAGCUUAUCAAACAUGGUGGCCAGCGUGUAUGUGGGUGCUUCACCCGCACUCUCUCCGUAGAACGCUGCAAGACUCUUGAAGUCAUGAAGGUUCUUCCUCCUAAUGGUGUUGGUAUCGACUGAGAGCACCGAUGCAACAUGCUCAACGAUGGCUUCUGCAAUAAAUGAUCCCUGCACCUCUCCAGGAGCCCGCAUUGUUGACUUUGGUGAGACAUUCGUCUUGCAGAGCUUGAUGUCAAAUGCAAGAGCCCCCCAAUUGUACUUUUUGAAACUACCAAUGAUAGUAUUUGGCAAUAUUGCACUCAGAUCCGGUGUUAUUCCAGCAUUGAGACCAAGGUCCAAGUGCACGGCUGUGAUCUUGCCAUCUGAUUUGAACCCAACAGAAUACUUUGUCUUCAUAGGGUGUCGCCCACCCGCUAUUAUCAUGUCCGUCUUGCGAUCAAGGUACAUCUUAACAGGACGCUGUAGCUUGAAUGCGGCAACGGCGCAUGCACAUGCAAUCUGACAAGGAGGAGAUUCUUGGCAUCUCACAUCAUCCACUUUGGAUGGCAAUACAAAUAGACGAUGUUUAGCAAAGAAAAGCUCUAGUUAGUUAUGACUUACGUGUAUUGCUUUCAUUGCCUUUCCACCAAAGCCUCCGCCGACUCUUCUUGUGAUCACACGGACGUUGUGCAACGGAAUGCCAAGGCACCUUGCAACUACAUCUUGUGUGAUCUCAACAAAUUGCGUCGAGGAAUAGAUGGUUAUGCAGUUGUCUUCAUCAGGAAUAGCCAGUGCCACCUGUGUCUCCAUGUAAAAAUAGUAUUGGGAUUCAAGCUUUACCUGCGGAAACAAAAAGUACUUGGUGUAAGUUUCGCCCUUGCUGGACACUUUUUAGGUCUCGGAGUAUGCUCCCCCUUUUGGCCUUUGGAACAAAAGGAAGCACCAUGUAGUAUGUACCUCUGCUGACAAAGUGUGAUCAGCCUUAGAAACCCCUUGGUUGUAAUCACCAACUGGCUUAGGAGAUAAAAAUGUGGGAAUCUGGAAGUAGCUGCUCUGUUGGAUGGCAUCUUGUAUAGUCAGAAUUGGUGGCUGCAAAUUUUCUGUGCUAUACUCAACAACAGCUUGCUUUGCAGCCAUAUAAGCAUACCUUUGUGUUUCAGAAAUCUGUGUGAUCGAAAACCAACAUGGCGUGGUAAGCUUGAUAGAAUUUUCAAGAUUCUGGGUAUACACUGACUUAUUACUGGCUCAUUUAAUCUUAUAAAGGUCAGUUUAAGCAACCUUACCACGAUGCCAAUAUUUUGACCAGCAAAUUCAACAACUUGAUCUGCAAAAAGCACUUCUUCUCCUAACAUCGGGAAGCUGGAUCCUAUAUUUUGUCCGCCUCUGGGAAUAUCCUUUGCAGUAAUGACUGUGAUGACCUUCUGUGAAGCCAAAGAUGAUUUGAAGUUGAUGCCCUUCACAUGAGCAUGAGGGCGUGUGCUGUAGAUAAAUGCUCCAUACAAGCAACCCUUGGGAACAGGGAUAUCAUCAACGUACACAGCCUCCCCUGUGUAAGAAACAUAAAUAUAGCUCAGUGCAUACAGUAACCAAUAAUAUGAGGAAAAAUAUGCAUAUUUGAAUUUUCAGAUGGUUCAGCACUGACAAAACUAUUGUACUCCAUCCGUUCCAAAUUAUAAGGCGUUUUAGAUUCAUAGAUAUAUAUAAGCUAUUAUUUCUAGAUACGUAGUAAAGACUACGUAUCUAGAAAUACUAAAACGUCUAUAAUUUGGAACAGAGGAAGUACUAAAAAUGAACAGUAGCAUCACUAUACAGUAUUUUGCAGAAUAUGCUGAAGAAAGGUUAUAAGCUGAUGCUGUCAAAAUAAUUGUUUUGGCAAGGCAGUACAUUGGAGGGGAAAUACCAGAAGCUUGGAG
Molecule: long non-coding RNA, 4279 nt
Filed under: Zea mays
Lineage: Eukaryota; Viridiplantae; Streptophyta; Magnoliopsida; Poales; Poaceae
Description: long non-coding RNA (ZMAY_LNC000158)
Source: RNAcentral